Molecule: ribosomal RNA, 535 nt
Filed under: Escherichia coli
Lineage: Bacteria; Pseudomonadati; Pseudomonadota; Gammaproteobacteria; Enterobacterales; Enterobacteriaceae
Description: partial 23S ribosomal RNA
Rfam family: Bacterial large subunit ribosomal RNA
Source: RNAcentral
GCCUGCGCGGAAGAUGUAACGGGGCUAAACCAUGCACCGAAGCUGCGGCAGCGACACUAUGUGUUGUUGGGUAGGGGAGCGUUCUGUAAGCCUGUGAAGGUGUGCUGUGAGGCAUGCUGGAGGUAUCAGAAGUGCGAAUGCUGACAUAAGUAACGAUAAAGCGGGUGAAAAGCCCGCUCGCCGGAAGACCAAGGGUUCCUGUCCAACGUUAAUCGGGGCAGGGUGAGUCGACCCCUAAGGCGAGGCCGAAAGGCGUAGUCGAUGGGAAACAGGUUAAUAUUCCUGUACUUGGUGUUACUGCGAAGGGGGGACGGAGAAGGCUAUGUUGGCCGGGCGACGGUUGUCCCGGUUUAAGCGUGUAGGCUGGUUUUCCAGGCAAAUCCGGAAAAUCAAGGCUGAGGCGUGAUGACGAGGCACUACGGUGCUGAAGCAACAAAUGCCCUGCUUCCAGGAAAAGCCUCUAAGCAUCAGGUAACAUCAAAUCGUACCCCAAACCGACACAGGUGGUCAGGUAGAGAAUACCAAGGCGCUUGAG